GACGAACGCUGGCGGCGUGCCUAAUACAUGCAAGUAGAGCGCACAGUUUAUACCGUAGCUUGCUACACCAUAAACUGUGAGUUGCGAACGGGUGAGUAACGCGUAGGUAACCUGCCUGGUAGCGGGGGAUAACUAUUGGAAACGAUAGCCAAUACCGCAUAAUAUUGAUUAUUGCAUGAUAAUUGAUUGAAAGAUGCUAUUGCAUCACUACCAGAUGGACCUGCGUUGUAUUAGCUAGUAGGUGAGGUAACGGCUCACCUAGGCGACGAUACAUAGCCGACCUGAGAGGGUGAUCGGCCACACUGGGACUGAGACACGGCCCAGACUCCUACGGGAGGCAGCAGUAGGGAAUCUUCGGCAAUAGACGAAAGUCUGACCGAGCAACGCCGCGUGAGUGAAGAAGGUUUUCGGAUCGUAAAGCUCUGUUGUAAGAGAAGAACGGGUGUGAGAGUGGAAAGUUCACACUGUGACGGUAUCUUACCAGAAAGGGACGGCUAACUACGUG
Molecule: ribosomal RNA, 505 nt
Filed under: uncultured bacterium
Lineage: Bacteria
Description: partial 16S ribosomal RNA
Rfam family: Bacterial small subunit ribosomal RNA
Source: RNAcentral